This is a long non-coding RNA of Entelurus aequoreus (snake pipefish), 1616 nucleotides long. RefSeq lists it as uncharacterized. The transcript has 3 exons. Lineage: Eukaryota; Metazoa; Chordata; Actinopteri; Syngnathiformes; Syngnathidae. The record is from RefSeq and is a predicted model, not a curated record.
UUUACAAUAUUGUGGUUAACUCCAUACGUAGUGCUCAGGAGGAACACAUUAUCUGACAGCUUUAUGAAACCAGCACUGUGUUGUUAAUAUAUAGGAUGGGGGGACUAUGAUGCUGAAUAAUGCAUUACAGUAUAUUAUACAGUAUGCUGUACCAAUCACUGGUGGAGUGCAAAUAAGCUCCCUGGUGGUUGUGAAUGGUAUAGGAUUAUUAUUAUAGGACAUUAGCGCAAUGGCCGGUUAUGUUCCAUCACUUAAUUAUACAAAGCCUCAUUACUGCAACUUUCCUGACAUAUCUCCUGUUUACUACUGGUGGAGAAUUACAUGAAUAACCAAAGAGGAGCGAUCGCAAUAACCAAAGGAAAUGCCUAUGUUGUGAAUGAGUCCAUGCAUACACAAUGUGCGUUUACUGUGAGUUUCAACUUCCCUAACUCCUGUUUGUUUCUGUUGCUCAAGAUGGAGGUUGUCAUUAAUAUCUGGCAGGUUGGAGUUAUCGUUAAAAACUGGCAGAAGGCGCAAGCUCUUCAUCAGUGGCUUUGAAUGUGGCCAUGCAGGGGACCCUUUGGGACUGUGCGACAAGGGGUGCCACUUUCGUGACUUCUGCUGUGCUUUUUUGUGAACUUCUGGAUCUGCCUCCCGAGAGCCUUUUGGCCAUGGAGACCAGCUACUGGGGGUCUGCCACACCAGAGUCCGUUUGGAGAGACUGGAGGAGAUGCUGAUGAAGAGACAGGGCUGCUGAGUUAGCGCUGAGCGUGGGGACGGACAAGCUUCACAGUGUCUUGGCUGAAUGAGCAGGUAUCGGACACCUCGGUCUCCUUAGAUGCAUUCUCGCUCGUCCGUGCGGACUGGACACUGGCCGAGAGUUGGUGGGCGGACGAGGGUGGAGUCGGCUCUCUCGGUUGUUUUGUUGGGUCUGCUCCUGUCUCUGGCCAUACUUCCUCCACCCCAGCAGACGAUGGCAUGGAACACCGCAGAGGCCACCACAGUGUAUAUGUUUUUUUUUUUUUUUUUUUAAAUUUAUUAUUUAUUUUUUGUAGCUGUAUGUAGAAAUGGCUGGUUGCUUCAGCUCUGCUCUUUUAAUGUAUUUAAUGUCCUUUGUGUUAUUUGAUGUUUGAUGUUUCCCUUUUACACACAUACUUAUGUGUGCUAUGGCUAUGGGUUUUUUCCCUUGGCCUCAGUCUGGAACCCCUCUCCAGGGGCCCAGGCUUAGACAUUUUUUUUUUUUCAUAACCCCACCCCCCCAACGUUUACCUGUUUCUCACCUUUUUUAUUAAGGGGCGCCGGAAGUUGGCAGACCCGUCAGCGAUCCUGUUCUGUCUCCCUGUAAUGUUUGUCUGAUCUUGAAUGGGAUCGUGCUGAAAAUCUUAAUUUCCCCUCGGGGAUUAAUAAAGUAUUUCUGAUUCUGAUUCUGAUUCUGAUGAACAAGCGUACUGGUGGUCCUAAACUUCAUGCACUAUGAAGACUCUUUUGAUCGAUUGCUAUCAUUGUAAAGUGGCAGUUAUUGUCAAUAACACUUGGCUUGUGCAAGUGUGCAUAUGUUUGUGUACCUUUAACCUAAAAAAAAAAAGCUUACAUACAAGUUCUUUGUACGUAAUGACAGUUUACUAGAGCAAAGGCUA